Molecule: ribosomal RNA, 309 nt
Filed under: uncultured bacterium
Lineage: Bacteria
Description: partial 16S ribosomal RNA
Rfam family: Bacterial small subunit ribosomal RNA
Source: RNAcentral
AGAGACAGCAGCAGCCGCGGGAAUACGUAGGGUGCAAGCGUUAAUCGGAAUUACUGGGCGUAAAGCGUGCGCAGGCGGUUCUAUAAGACAGAUGUGAAAUCCCCGGGCUCAACCUGGGAACUGCAUUUGUGACUGUAGAGCUGGAGUGCGGCAGAGGGGGAUGGAAUUCCGCGUGUAGCAGUGAAAUGCGUAGAUAUGCGGAGGAACACCGAUGGCGAAGGCAAUCCCCUGGGCCUGCACUGACGCUCAUGCACGAAAGCGGGGGGAGCGAACAGGAUUAGAUACCCCGGUAGUCCCUGUCUCUUAUAC